GUGAAUCAUCGAAUUUUUGAACGCAAAUUGCACUCUCUUCGGAGAGUAUGCCUGUUUGAGGGUCAGUCUAAAUAAAUAGAUAUCGUUUCUGUUUCGCGGCGGCGUUAGUCGGUAAUUGAGUCAUUUAAAAUCCUCUUGAUUUAAGCGUCUAAAAAUUUUCUUUUGGUUCCAUGAACGUUUCUAAGAUCUAUUUCUUUACACGUUUAAGGUAUCGAUUUUUACUAGACGUGACCAUCAUAU
Molecule: unclassified non-coding RNA, 240 nt
Filed under: Glomus sp.
Lineage: Eukaryota; Fungi; Glomeromycota; Glomeromycetes; Glomerales; Glomeraceae
Description: partial contains 5.8S ribosomal RNA and internal transcribed spacer 2
Rfam family: 5.8S ribosomal RNA (bases 1-65)
Source: RNAcentral